CCUACGGGUGGCAGCAGUGAGGAAUAUUGGUCAAUGGCCGAGAGGCUGAACCAGUCAAGUCGCGUGAGGGAAGACGGCCCUACGGGGUGUAAACCUCUUUUGUCGGGGAGCAAAGCGAACCACGUGUGGUUCAUUGAGAGUACCCGAAGAAAAAGCAUCGGCUAACUCCGUGCCAGCAGCCGCGGUAAUACGGAGGAUGCGAGCGUCAUCCGGAUUUAUUGGGUUAAAAGGGUGCGCAGGCGGAGGUGCAAGUCAGCGGUCAAAUUGCGGGGCUCAACCCCGUACUGCCGUUGAAACUGCAUCCCUUGAGUGCGCGAGAAGUAUGCGGAAUGCGGGGUGUAGCGGUGAAAUGCAUAGAUAUCACGCAGAACUCCGAUUGCGAAGGCAGCAUACCGGCGCGCAACUGACGCUCAUGCACGAAAGCGUGGGUAUCGAACAGGAUUAGAUACCCCAGUAGUC
RNAcentral lists this ribosomal RNA (459 nucleotides) under uncultured bacterium. RNAcentral describes it as "partial 16S ribosomal RNA". It matches the Rfam family "Bacterial small subunit ribosomal RNA", at positions 338 to 795 of the family's 1533-position model. The record is from RNAcentral.